Molecule: ribosomal RNA, 368 nt
Filed under: uncultured archaeon
Lineage: Archaea
Description: bacterial SSU rRNA
Rfam family: Archaeal small subunit ribosomal RNA
Source: RNAcentral
UUCGCCCUUUUCCGGUUGAUCCGCCGGACCUGACUGCUAUCGGAUUGAUACUAAGCCAUGCGAGUCAUUGUAGUAAUACAAGGCAGACGGCUCAGUAACGCGUAGUCAACCUAACCUAUGGACGGGAAUAACCUCGGGAAACUGAGUAUAAUGCCCGAUAGAACAUUAUGCCUGGAAUGGUUUAUGUUCCAAAUGAUUUAUCGCCGUAGGAUGGGACUGCGGCCUAUCAGUUUGUUGGUGAGGUAAUGGCCCACCAAGACUAUUACAGGUACGGGCUCUGAGAGGAGUAGCCCGGAGAUGGGUACUGAGACACGGACCCAGGCCCUAUGGGGCGCAGCAGGCGAGAAAACUUUGCAAUGUGCGAAAGC